This 866-nucleotide ribosomal RNA is filed under the name Pezicula brunnea. RNAcentral's name for it is "eukaryotic LSU rRNA". It matches the Rfam family "Eukaryotic large subunit ribosomal RNA", at positions 73 to 956 of the family's 3401-position model. Lineage: Eukaryota; Fungi; Ascomycota; Leotiomycetes; Helotiales; Dermateaceae. The record is from RNAcentral.
GAUUACCUCAGUAACGGCGAGUGAAGCGGUAACAGCUCAAAUUUGAAAUCUGGGUCUUUCAGGCUCCGAGUUGUAAUUUGUAGAAGAUGCUUUGGGUGCGGCCCCGGUCUAAGUUCCUUGGAACAGGACGUCAUAGAGGGUGAGAAUCCCGUAUGUGAUCGGUGGCUUGCGCCCGUGUAAAGCUCUUUCGACGAGUCGGGUUGUUUGGGAAUGCAGCUCUAAAUGGGUGGUAAAUUUCAUCUAAAGCUAAAUAUUGGCCAGAGACCGAUAGCGCACAAGUAGAGUGAUCGAAAGAUGAAAAGCACUUUGGAAAGAGAGUUAAACAGUACGUGAAAUUGUUGAAAGGGAAGCGCUUGCAACCAGACUUGCGCGGGGUUGAUCAUCCGGGGUUCUCCCCGGUGCACUCGGCCUCGCUCAGGCCAGCAUCGGUUUCGGUGGCUGGAUAAAGGCCUUGGGAAUGUGGCUCCUUUCGGGGAGUGUUAUAGCCCUCGGUGCAAUACAGCCUACUGGGACCGAGGACCGCGCUUCGGCUAGGAUGCUGGCGUAAUGGUUGUAAGCGACCCGUCUUGAAACACGGACCAAGGAGUCUAACAUCUAUGCGAGUGUUUGGGUGUCAAACCCAUACGCGUAAUGAAAGUGAACGGAGGUGAGAACCCUUAAGGGUGCAUCAUCGACCGAUCCUGAUGUCUUCGGAUGGAUUUGAGUAAGAGCAUAGCUGUUGGGACCCGAAAGAUGGUGAACUAUGCCUGAAUAGGGUGAAGCCAGAGGAAACUCUGGUGGAGGCUCGCAGCGGUUCUGACGUGCAAAUCGAUCGUCAAAUUUGGGUAUAGGGGCGAAAGACUAAUCGAACCAUCUAGUAGCUGGUU